GCGACCCCAUGUCAAGCAGGAUUACUCACUGACUUUAAGCAUAUCAAUAAGUGGAGAAAAAGAAACUUAAAAGGAUUCUCUUAGUAACAGCACGCAAAUCGGGAAUAGUGUAGCCUUAGAAUCAGGCGGCUCCAUCAUCUGAAUUGUAGUUUGGAGAAGCGUCAUCAACGAUGGACCAGGCCUAAGUCACUUGGAAGAGGGCGCCAGAUAGGGUGAGAUCUUCGUUGUGCCCGUACCCUAUAGCACCACGAGGCGUUGUCUAUAAGUUGGAUAGUUUGAGAAUGCAGCCCAAAUCAGGCGGUGAAUUCCAUCUAAGGAUAAAUACGGGUGAGAUACCGAUAGCGAAAAAGUACCGUGAGGGAAAAAUGAAAAGGACUUUGAAAAUAAAGUCAAAGAGUGCUUGAAAUCAUCGGGAGUUAAGUAGAUUGGGGCCGGUGAUAUGCCCCAAUCUGAUGUGGAAUGGCAAUGAGCCAAUUUACUGAUCGACUCAAGGCAUGGACCAGUAUGGAUUGGGGGCGGCCCAAGCCUGGGCUAUCAUUACACUUAUGGAAUGUCAUCUCCUCAAUUAUGACAGAGAGUGUGUGCCUCUACUAUUCUUCGGCUACUGUGCUUCGGACAUUGGCAUGUUGGCUCCCCAUUUGACCAUUCUUAAAACAUGAACUAAGGAGUUUGACAUGUGUGCGAGUCAAUAGAUGAGUUAACCCUUAAGGUGUAAGGAAGAUGAUUGGUGGGAUCCCCCUAAGGGGUGCACUGCCGUUCGACCUUGAUCUUUUGAGAAGAGUUCAAGUGUGAGCAAACCUGUCAGGACCCGAAGGAUUAUGAACUAUGUCUGAGUGGGGCACAACCAGAGCAAACAUUGGUAGAGGCCAACUUGGUUAUAGGGGCGAAAGACUAUCCAAAUCAUCUAUUAGCUGGUUUGCUCCAAAGUUUCCGUCAAGAUAGCUAGAGCUCGCGAGCGAGUUCUAUUGGGUAAAGUCAAUGAUUAGAGGCCUCAGUGGCACAAUGCCCUCUACCUAUUCUCACACUUUAAAUAGGUAGGACAGCGUGGAUACUUUGUUGAGCUAUGCUACCGAAUCAAGAGCUCAAAUUAGUCUAUUUUAGUUAAGCAGAAUAGGCGAUGCGGGAUGAACCAAAAGCUGGGUUACGGUGCCAAACUUUGUGGUAACCUAGAUCCCACAAAGGGUUUUAGUCGAUUAAGAUAGCAAGAUGGUGGUCAAGGAAGUCGAAAUCCACUAAGGAGCAUGUAACAGCUCACCUGUCGAAUCAAAUAGCCCCAAAAAUAGAUGGCGCUUAAGCGUAUGACCUACACCUGGCCGUCGGGGCAAGUACCAGGCCCCGAUGAGUAGAAAGGAACGGUGGUCACUGCAAAAACCUUGGGCUCGAUCCCGAGCAGAGCGGCCAUUGUUACAGUUCUUAUUGGUAGUAGCAAAUAUUCAAAUGAAAACUUUGAAGGCCGAAGAGGGGAAAGUUUCUAUGUGAAUGACACUUGCACAUGGGUUAGUCGAUCCUAAGGGUCAGGGGAAUGUUAGGAAGUCUGGAUACAUCGGCGGGAGCCUCGGGAAGAGUUUGCCCACCCAGGAAUUGGCUCAGCCGGCAUGAUGUCCAAUGCGCUCCCGGUGGCCUUUGAAAAUCCUAAGGACCGAAUGUCAUCCACGCUCGGUGGUACUCAUAACUGCAUCAAGUCUCCAAGGUGAAAAGCCUCUGGUCGGAAUAAGGUAGGAAAGGUAGUCGGUAACUUCGGGAAACGGAUUGGCUCUGAGGGAUGGGCACAGGGGUCCCAGUAAAGAAUCCGUCGAUUGUCGGUGGACUGCUUGAGCUACUUCCGUGGUGAGAGCGGGUCAUCGGGUGGACGAUCUGGGAAUGGAUCUUUUGAGGGCCUUCUCCACGCGUCAGACAGCCAACUCAGAACUGGUAUGGACAAGGGAAAUCUAAUUGUUUAAUUAAAAUAAAGCAUUGCGAUGGUCCCAAUGGAUGCUCACGCAAUGUUAUUUUUUCCCAGUGCCCUGAAUGUAAAAGUGAAAAAAUUCAACCAAGCGCAGGUAAACGGCGGGAGUAACUAUGACUCUGUUAAGGUAGCCAAAUGCCUCAUCAUUUAAUUAGUGAUGUGCAUGAGUGGAUUAACGAGAUUCCCACUGUCUCUUUCUACUAUCCGGCAAAACCAUAGCCAAGGGAACGGGCUUGACAGAAUCACGAGGGAAAGAAGACCCUAUUGAGCUUGACUCUAGUCCAACUUUGUAAAAUGACUUAAGAGGUGUAGUAUAAGUGGGAGCCGAAAGACGAAAGUGAAAUACCACUACUUUUAACGUUAUUUUACUUAUUCCACAAAUCGAAAGCAUGGCACUGCCCCUCUUUUUGGACCCAAGACUCGCUCUGCGGGCCGAUCCAGGUGGAAGACAUUGUCAGGUGUGGAGUAUGGCUCGAGAGGCACAUCCAUUAAAAGAUAACGCAGGUUUCCUAAGAGGAGCUCAAUGAGAACAGAAAUCUCAUGUGGAACAGAAGGGUAAAAACUCAUUUGGUUCUGAUUUCCAGUACAAAUAUAAACUGGGAAAGUGUGGCCUAACGAUCCUUUAGACUUUCAAAAUUCAAAGACAGAUAUGCCAGAAAAGUUACCACAGGGACAAAUGGUUUGUGGCAGCCAAGCGUUCAUAGCGACGUUGCUUUUGAUCCUUUGAUGUCGGCUCUUCCUAUCAUUGUGAAUCAGAAGUUACCAAGUGUUGGAUUGUUCACCAACAAAAAAGGAACGUGAGCAGAGUUUAGACCAUCGUGAGACAUGUUAGUUUUACCCUACUAAUGACAGUGUUACAAUAGUAAUUCAACUUAGUCCGAGAAGAAUCGUUGAUUCACACAAUUGGUCUUUGUGCUUGGUUGAAAAGCCAGUGGCGUGAGGCUAUCGUCCUCUAGAUUAUGAUUGAAUGCCUUUAAGUUAGAAUCCGGGAUAGAAGCAAUGCAUGUGCCCUCCAUCCGCUUGCCGUCCAGCAUCAGAGGACUCGGCCCCUCAGGGCACGUGUCGUUGGCUAAGCCAUCGCGGCUAAAGGGUACAAUUUCCAUAAAGCAUCAGGUAGAAUCCUUUUCAGAUGACUUAAAUAUGCGAUGGGGUUUUGUAAGUGGAAGAGUGGCCUUGCUGCAACGAUCACUGAGAUUCAGCCCUUUCCCUUUGUCGCUC
This 3163-nucleotide ribosomal RNA is filed under the name Capsicum annuum. RNAcentral's name for it is "bacterial LSU rRNA". It matches the Rfam family "Eukaryotic large subunit ribosomal RNA". Lineage: Eukaryota; Viridiplantae; Streptophyta; Magnoliopsida; Solanales; Solanaceae. The record is from RNAcentral.